GGGAGAACUACAAGAGGAAAGGGAAUAUAAGAAGGGUCCUGGAGAGAGACUUACCUGGCAAGAUGAAAAUAUAGAAACUGCAUUUACCAUCAGAAAAUGGAAGAAAGCCAGACUAGCUCUACUUCUGAUCUUGAGAGGACCGUUUAAGAAGUCUGAAUUCGAUGCCAUCAUCAAUGACAUGCCCAGCACCAGGGUUAUGAAAGAUUAAAGGACAUUCAUUACUAAGCCCCCAGUUCAGCAAAAAAAUCAAUCAG
Molecule: long non-coding RNA, 254 nt
Organism: Gavialis gangeticus (Gharial)
Lineage: Eukaryota; Metazoa; Chordata; Crocodylia; Gavialidae
Exons: 3
Source: RefSeq, a predicted model, not a curated record